This 423-nucleotide ribosomal RNA is filed under the name Melittobia australica. RNAcentral describes it as "partial 16S ribosomal RNA". The record is from RNAcentral. Lineage: Eukaryota; Metazoa; Arthropoda; Insecta; Hymenoptera; Eulophidae.
GAAGAUAAUUUAAAAUAAAAUCUGCUCAAUGAAUAUUUAAAUAGCUGCAGUAUAUUAACUGUACUAAGGUAGCAUAAUCAUUUGUCUUUUUAAUAAAGUCUGGAAUGAAAGAUUUAAUGAAAUAAAAUCUAUUUAAAUUUAAAAAUAUUUAAAUUUAAUUUUAAGUUAAAAAUCUUAAAUAUAAAAAAAAGACGAGAAGACCCUAUAGAAUUUUAUAAUUUUAAUUAUAAAUUUUAUUUAAAUUUAUAUAAAUUAUAAUUAAAUUAUUGAAUUGGGGUAAUAUUAAAAUUUAAAAAAUUUUUAAAAUUUUAAACAUAUAUAAAUGAAUUAAAUAUCCAAUAUUAUUGAAUAUAAAUUAAAUUACCUUAGGGAUAACAGCGUAAUAAUUUCAGAGAGAUCAUAUUGAAGAAAUUGAUUGCGACC